GAUGAAGAACGCAGCGAAAUGCGAUAAGUAAUGUGAAUUGCAGAAUUCAGUGACUCAUCGAAUCUUUGAACGCACAUUGCGCCCGCCAGUAUUCUGGCGGGCAUGCCUGUCCGAGCGUCAUUUCAACCCUCAAGCCCCCGGGCUUGGUGUUGGAGAUCGGCGAGCCCCCCGGGGCGCGCCGUCUCCCAAAUAUAGUGGCGGUCCCGCUGUAGCUUCCUCUGCGUAGUAGCACACCUCGCACUGGGAAACAGCGUGGCCACGCCGUAAAACCCCCCACUUCUGAAAGGUUGACCUCGGAUCAGGUAGGAAUACCCGCUGAACUUAAGCAUAUCAAUAAGCGGAGGA
Molecule: unclassified non-coding RNA, 345 nt
Filed under: soil metagenome
Description: partial contains 5.8S ribosomal RNA, internal transcribed spacer 2, and large subunit ribosomal RNA
Rfam family: 5.8S ribosomal RNA (bases 1-120)
Source: RNAcentral